This is a long non-coding RNA of Piliocolobus tephrosceles (Ugandan red Colobus), 1859 nucleotides long. Lineage: Eukaryota; Metazoa; Chordata; Mammalia; Primates; Cercopithecidae. The record is from Ensembl.
AGAAAAUAAAAAAAAAAUAAAAUUUUCGAGUUAUACUAAAACUAUGCAAGGAAGGAGAAAAAAACAAGAAGAUAGAUAUGUAAUCAUUACAGAUCUUACAAAAUAUAUAAAUCCAAAUGAUUACAAAACAUUAUUUUUAUAUAAACAAAACCCUUUUACCUUUUAUGCAAUUUUUGACGGUCAUAGAGGAAUAAAAGCAUGUGAGUUUUGUAUGACUAAUAUGGUUAAAAAUAUAAUUUAUUAUUUUUAUAGUCAAGAUGAUUCGAAGAGUGAAGAAAUACAUCAGAUGAUGGAAAAGGAAACUAUGAAUAAUAAUAUGGAAGUUGUUUCGAAUUGUAGUUAUAUUGUUAACGAGAGUGACAAAUCGGAUAUUGAAGUUAAUCCUUUGGAUAAACAUGUUAGCGGGGAUGUUAACAUCAGCGAUAACAGUAGCAGUAAUAGUAAUUAUUAUGCUAAAGAAUUGAUUAAAAAAUGUGAAAUAAAACCAACUGAUAGUAGUAAUAAUGAGCAUAUUGAUAACGAAUAUAAUAACUCUGAACAUACAAAAAAUAGUAAUAAUUUACAAAAAAAUGAAGAAAAUACAGAAAAUACAGAAAAAAAUGAACAAGAAUUUUGUAAAAAAAAAAGAAAAAAAAGUAACACUAACAACCUAAGUGAUGAGCAAACGGAUAUUCAUUUUGUAAAAAGCAGUAAUUGUUAUUUAGAAGAUUAUAAAAAAAUAAAAAUUAAUGAUAAAAAGUGUGUUCAAUCUGAUAGUAAUGCACAUGUUAUGAAAAAUGAAUAUGACAACAGUAAAGACAUAACUGAUUGUGAGAGUUUUGUCGGUGAUGUUAGUACGACCCUACAUUGCGACAAAACAAAUAAUUGCGAAAAUGCAAACGAAAGUGAAAGCGAAAACGGAAAUGAAAAUGUAAACAAAAAUGAAAACGUAAACAAAAAUGAAAACGAAAAUAGAAACGAAAAUGGAAACACCAAAUCAAAUGAAAAAAAUAAUAUAACAGUAGCAAACCAUAAUAAAAAAAUAAAAUUUUUAAAUGACUUAACAGAUGAAGAAAUAAUAAAUUACAUAAAGUUAGCUUUUAUAAAAACAGAUGAACAAUUCUUAAAUGUAUCUAAAUAUCCUAAGCAUGGAUGUACAGUCAUAUCCUUAAUUUUUUUAAAAAAUAAAAUGUUCGUUGUAAAUUUAGGAGAUUGUAGAGCUAUUGGUAUCGUCAAUAUAAACAACACUAUGCAAGCAGAAGCGCUUUCGCACGAUCACAAACCAAAUGACCCGAAGGAAAAAGAAAGGAUAAAAAAAUGUGGCGGCGACGUGAUCUGUUUACAGAAUGUUUAUAGGGUAAAAGCAAAUGUGAAGAAGGUAGCCAACACUUAAAAAAAAAAAAAAAAAAAAAAAAAAAAAAAAGCUAUAUAUAUAUAUAAUGCAUAAAAAUAAUAUUGGAACACAUACACGUAUGAUAUUUUUUUAACAAUUAUUAUAUGUAUAUUUUAUUUAUUUAGACAAGCCAUGAUAAUACAAAUUUACUUAACAGAGUAGCUAUGAAAGAUGAGGUGUUUCUAGCUGGUAAGUUUCAACAUAGUGAAAAAAAAAAAAAAAAAAAAAAAAAAACACGACGUAACUAACCGUUUAUAAUAUAGUUGUUUAUAUUAGAACGUGAAUACGCACGUACAUAUGUAAAAAUUGUUUUGCAUUAUAUUUUUUUUUUAGUCUCAAGAGCUAUAGGAAACAAGGAUUUUAAAUAUAACCAUGUUAUAUCUUCCACACCUGACGUUAUAUGUAAAGAAAUAUAUAAUGAUAACAUAAAUGAUAAAAGUAAUUACGAAAAAUGUGAAAAUAAAUGUACUCAGCUAAAUAUGGAACA